Molecule: long non-coding RNA, 783 nt
Organism: Zea mays
Lineage: Eukaryota; Viridiplantae; Streptophyta; Magnoliopsida; Poales; Poaceae
Exons: 2
Source: RefSeq, a predicted model, not a curated record
AUGAAACCUGCUGGAUUUGCCAAGAACCUGCAACUUUGAAAGUGCUAAGGAUAUACCCAUGUUCAUUUCUGCUAAAAAUUAGCUUCAUAUGCAUCAUUGAAACUUCAUAAAUCAGUUCAUCAUCUACAACCAUUCAGCACACCCUUGCCAACAUUCAUGACACAGAAAGUUAGUGUAGAAAUAUAUGGCAGGGCUAGACCAUUUCAGUUAUACUACCAGGUACAAAUACACAAUUAUUUUCUCUUGUCACUAACAUGUGUUAGUCACUAACAUGUGUUACAGAACAGUAACCAUUUAUUUUACUUUACAAUAUUUUCUUAUGCACAAUAUCUUUGACGCUACUGGAUGGCUCGCAUGCUCAAUUUACAGGCAUUAGAAAUUUUUUAGUGCAUUCCAAUUCUAUCAACCUACACAGCAUUCCAUUAUUCCAACCUUAUUCCAGAGUAGUUCUGUGCACUUUAAAGCCUAACGUUUGUGGAUCCAGAAAAGAAGCAAAUUUUGUAUGUAUAUAUGUGUAGAUCCAGGUGAUCGCUAUUGUUAGCUUUUGUUUACAAUGGUUGCCACCCAAAAAAGUUGUAACUCGCUCAUUUCUAGACUUGUGAAUAAUGUUGUUAGCACUAUGUUUGCUUUUGCAGUGACACUACCUGACGCUUGUAAUGUUGUUUGGUCGUGAACUGUUGCCGCGCUAUGUAAAGAUCUAGACAUAACCACUUUGUUUGCAUGCUUGUUGACUCCCAUAACAACUUUAGAUUAGUUUGCCAUUUAUUAUAUGUGUUCCUUUUU